This 463-nucleotide long non-coding RNA is filed under the name Carica papaya (papaya). Its description in RNAcentral is "long non-coding RNA (CPAP_LNC016608)". The record is from RNAcentral. Lineage: Eukaryota; Viridiplantae; Streptophyta; Magnoliopsida; Brassicales; Caricaceae.
AUUCUCGCACACACAGGACGUGCGCACAAGGCACACCUCUCCUUCGCACGCACAGGAUAUGCGCACAACGCUAUGUCUUUUUCAUGCGCACGCGGAGUGGGGUUAGGACCUGCCCGCGCAUCCUAUCGCGCAUAGGCGAGCCAUUCGCACAUCACCUCAUGCACUAACAUGUGCCGCACAAUAUGCGUGUGUCGUUCGCGCAACAAGCUUGUGUGAAUAGGCCAUGUGCGCCUAGGACCUGCGUAAAUGGCACCCCGCACGUCUAGGCCCUACAUGCGUGGCAGUAGGCAUGUGCACUUGCAGGCUAGCCUGUAGUGUGCUAGCUAAAGCACUGCUUCAUUAGGCAGUGCACCACUGCUGCCUUGGGCAUUGCACCAUGGCCGGCGGCAGAGGAGUCUAUCCUCCCUUAUUUUUUGUGCUGAACAUCUUUUUCUCCUCUCUUUUUACCAGAUUUUGCCACUUG